UGUAAAUGUCAUGAAGGCUGUAAAUAAUUUCCUUGUGUCUUGGCAGAUCCCAAAUUCUUUGAUAACUUUUCAGGUAAGACUCUGUAAAAUAAUAUAAUUGGAAUAGAAUCAGUUCUUGAAUCACAUAUGACAUUAACAUGUUUGAAGUUAAAGUGGAAUCAGUGCAUUUGCAUGUCACACUGUUUUUUCAAAAAUAAAGUGAAUUAAAUUUAGUAAGUCUUUCACAUCUGCUUUGCUAACAACAGUUGACACAGACACAACCUGCACGCCAAUACCAGAAGAUGCUUCUUUCCCAGAUGAAGUGCAAAGCAGAAAGCGAAAAGUUGAUGCAACUUCAGACAAAACCCGCAGAUCCAAACGCAACAAAAAAGCAACAGCGUGGCCUGAAAGUCCCUCAAACGGAAGGCUGCCCAACAUUACCCCUGAGAGUAGUUUCCAUCUGAGCUCAAACCCAUUCCAGCAUGUAUUACGCAUUCCCUUCAGCCCCCCUCUUCUGCCCCCUAGUGGAGGUUCACCACUACAAUUCAUCCAGACCAUCGGCCCUUAUACGGCGCCUCUAAUUGGCACUGUGGUUCCAACAGGGCCUACAUACGUGAUUGUAUCUGCAGUGUCGCCCCAAUGUGUGAGUCCAGGCACUCAGAUAAUUCCGCUUUCACCUGGUAAGUUAAAAAGAAGAUGGUCACAUGAGUAA
RNAcentral lists this long non-coding RNA (691 nucleotides) under Sinocyclocheilus anshuiensis. Its description in RNAcentral is "lncRNA (ENSSANG00000040923.1)". Lineage: Eukaryota; Metazoa; Chordata; Actinopteri; Cypriniformes; Cyprinidae. The record is from RNAcentral.